Molecule: ribosomal RNA, 2187 nt
Filed under: Candidatus Nomurabacteria bacterium RIFCSPHIGHO2_02_FULL_42_24
Lineage: Bacteria; Candidatus Nomuraibacteriota
Description: bacterial LSU rRNA
Rfam family: Bacterial large subunit ribosomal RNA (bases 843-2184)
Source: RNAcentral
CCCUGGUGAAUGUCGGCAAUAACUAUAAUUGUCCUAAGGUAGCGAAAUACCUUGUCGGGUAGGAAACUGCCCAUCCCGAUGGCGACAUUGGGAUUAAAUCCGGCUUAUAACGGUGGAAUCCUUUUGCACAUAAUGCGCAAAGUAAAAGGACAAUACCGUGGGAAGUCCCAGUUUGAUUUAUCAAAUUUGGACCCCGUAACGACUUAAGUCGCCUAUGUAUAGUGGCGACUUGGAUAGAUUAUUGAUAUAAUCUAUAACAUGCCGGCUCUCAAGAAAAAACGCAAUAUACAUGAAUAUAUUUCCGGAUAUGUAGAUGGAGAAGGGUGCUUUAGUGUUUCAUUUUCAAAACGAGAUAAAUUUAUCGUCGGCUGGGAAACUAAACCAAGUUUUUCAGUUAGCCAAAAUGAAGAUAGAGCACAAACACUUUUCCUAAUACAAAAGAUAUUGAAAUGCGGAUUUAUGCGAAGAGAUUUUUCAGAUAAAACUUUGAAAUACGAAGUUAGAAGUCUGGAAGAUCUAAUCAAAAAAGUAAUUCCUCAUUUUGAAAAGUUUCCAAUGGUUUCAAAUAAGCAAAAAGAUUUCAAAUUAUUCAAGCAAGUUUGUUUCUUGAUGCAAAGAAAUAUGCACAGGAAAAAAAACGGAUUGAAUAAAAUAAUGAGUCUUGCGUUUAAAAUGAAUCCAGGGGGAAAAAGAAAAUAUACGAAAGCAGAAAUGCAAAAAGCGUUGAGAUGAAGAUAUAGUCUGAUACUCCUUGUAAAAGGAGAUAACACAGUGAAGUUCCGACGCGCAUGAAUGGCGUAACGACCAGAGAACUGUCUCGGGGACUCGCUCGGUGAAAAUACAAUACCGGUGAAGAUGCCGGUUACCCACAGUUAGACGAAAAGACCCCGUGAAGCUUUACUACAACUUGAUAUUGAGCGUGUUUUUUUGUUGCGUAGAAUAGAUGGGAGACUUUGAAGUUUCGAUUCCGGUCGGAAUGGAGUCAUCAGUGCAAUACCAUCCUUUAGAGAGGCACGUUCUAACCAGUACGGCAAAAACGGACUGGAACAGUAUCUGGUGGGUAGUUUGUUUGGGGCGAAUCCCUCCUAAAAAGUAACGGAGGGGUCUACCAAGGUUCCCUAGGCGCGAAUGGAAACCGUGCCGAUAGCGUAAUGGCAUAAGGGAGCUUAACUGCGAGGCGUACAUGCCGAGCAGAUGCGAAAGCAGAGCAUAGUGAACCGACCACUCGCAUUAGACGCGGUGGAAGAUUAUCGGACAAAAGCUACUCCGGGGAUAACAGGCUAGUUCCGCCCAAGAGUUCAAAUCGACGGCGGAGUUCGGCACCUCGAUGUCGGCUCAACAUAUCCUGGCGGUGGAGAAGCUGCCAAGGGUUUGGCUGUUCGCCAAUUAAAAUGUUACGCGAGCUGGGUUCAAACCGUUCAGGAGGCAAAAAAUUGUCUUUUGAACAGUUUGAACCUAAGAGGCAAAGAACUGUUAUAAAACUGAAAUUAACCAAGUGUAUUAAAUUACACACACGGCGGCUAUAUGCAGAAAUGUAUAUAGACAAAUCGACUUAUAUCGGAAAAAUCCCAAGUGGACAAUUCCGAGGGAAAAAUGUUUUGUGAGUUUCAUAGAGGAAAAAUUGUUCUUUACUUCGUCCUUUCGUCUAGUGGUUAGGACGUGUCUAUGCUUGAAUAAAGCUAGAUGAAACACUGGUUCGAUUCCAGUAGGGAUGACGAAAUUACUUUUUAGUAAUUUAUUAAAUUUUUUUGGGGAAAUUAAUUUUUCCCCUCUUCUAUGAAAUUCAUAAAAUAACUGCCCGUAGAGACUAAACGUCGAUAUUCUUGAAAAAGAAUGUGUUAUAGUCCGAUCCCUUCAGUAAUGAAGGUUCAGCGUUUGUAGAACGCGGAAGUAAAACCAAAUGCGUGAGACAGGUUAGUCUCCUAUCUACUGUGGGCGUUGAUUCUUGAGGGGAGUUGCUUCUAGUACGAGAGGACCGAAGCGAACUGACCUCUGGUGUAUCUGUUGUCCCGCCCGGGGCAUUGCAGAGUAGCUAUGUCGGGAAUGGAUAACCUCUGAAAGCAUCUAAGAGGGAAGCCAGCCCUAAGAUUAGGAAUCGUUUGAGGGACCUGGGAGAUGACCAGGUUGAUAGGCGCUAGGUGUAAGUCCUGUGAAGGAUUGAGCCGAGGCGUACUAAUAUCCCGAUUC